RNAcentral lists this transfer RNA (72 nucleotides) under Rhipicephalus sanguineus (brown dog tick). RNAcentral's name for it is "transfer RNA alanine (anticodon UGC)". It matches the Rfam family "tRNA". Rfam says of the family: Transfer RNA (tRNA) molecules are approximately 80 nucleotides in length. Their secondary structure includes four short double-helical elements and three loops (D, anti-codon, and T loops). The record is from Rfam by way of RNAcentral. Lineage: Eukaryota; Metazoa; Arthropoda; Arachnida; Ixodida; Ixodidae.
GGGGGUGUAGCUCAGUGGUAGAGCGCUCGCUUUGCGUGUGAGAAGUCCCGAGUUCAAACCCCGGCACCUCCA